CCUACGGGUGGCAGCAGUGAGGAAUAUUGGGCAAUGGGCGCGAGCCUGAACCAGCCAAGUAGCGUGAAGGAUGACUGCCCUACGGGUUGUAAACUUCUUUUAUAAAGGAAUAAAGUGAGGCACGUGUGCCUUUUUGUAUGUACUUUAUGAAUAAGGAUCGGCUAACUCCGUGCCAGCAGCCGCGGUAAUACGGAGGGGCCGGGCGUUAUCCGGAUUUAUUGGGUUUAAAGGGAGCGUAGAUGGGUUGUUAAGUCAGUUGUGAAAGUUUGGGGCUCAACCGUAAAACUGAAAUUGAUACUGGCAGUCUGGAGUGCAGUUGAGGUAGGCGGAAUUCGUGGUGUAGCGGUGAAAUGCUUAGAUAUCACGAAGAACUCCGAUUGCGAAGGCAGCUUACUAAACUGCCACUGACAUUGAUGCUCGAAAGUGUGGGUAGCAAACAGGAUUAGAUACCCCAGUAGUC
Molecule: ribosomal RNA, 460 nt
Filed under: uncultured bacterium
Lineage: Bacteria
Description: partial 16S ribosomal RNA
Rfam family: Bacterial small subunit ribosomal RNA
Source: RNAcentral